RNAcentral lists this transfer-messenger RNA (396 nucleotides) under uncultured Phocaeicola sp. It matches the Rfam family "transfer-messenger RNA". From Rfam's summary of the family: Bacterial tmRNA, also known as 10Sa RNA or SsrA, is named for its dual tRNA and mRNA-like properties. The record is from RNAcentral. Lineage: Bacteria; Pseudomonadati; Bacteroidota; Bacteroidia; Bacteroidales; Bacteroidaceae.
GGGGUUGACUGGAUUUGACAGCGAGAUGAAGAGGUAUGUAAGCAUGCAGUGCGUCAGUGAUUAGCACUUUAAUCCCAGUUACUAACAAUUAUCUGGCAACACUAAUUAUGCUCUCGCAGCGUGAUUGAAGUAUAGUAGAUCACCUUUAUUCCUGUCAUAGUGGCGGGAACGGGAUGUCGCUCAAAAGCUCUUGUUCCGAAGCGGUUGAUAAAGCGGCACAGCAAAAUCGGGAAUAGUCAUGAGUUUUCUCCGCACUCUUGAUGAACUUUUAGGAGAUAAGGCAUGAGUAGGUGGCUUUGGUCUUGCUUGUGCACGAAAACCGAAGGCAAAGAUAAGCAUGUAGAAAGCAUAUGGCUUCCUUGUUUGGACGAGGGUUCGACUCCCUCCAGCUCCACU